AAUCCUGCUCAGUACAAGAGGAUCCACAGGUUCAGACAUUUGGUGUAUGUGCUUGGCUGAGGAGCCAAUGGGGUGAAGCUACCAUCUGUGGGAUUAUGACUGAAUGCCUCUAAGAAUCAUAGUCCUG
This 127-nucleotide non-coding RNA is filed under the name Monodelphis domestica (gray short-tailed opossum). RNAcentral's name for it is "Eukaryotic large subunit ribosomal RNA". It matches the Rfam family "Eukaryotic large subunit ribosomal RNA", at positions 3021 to 3145 of the family's 3401-position model. The record is from Rfam by way of RNAcentral. Lineage: Eukaryota; Metazoa; Chordata; Mammalia; Didelphimorphia; Didelphidae.